This 497-nucleotide ribosomal RNA is filed under the name uncultured bacterium. RNAcentral's name for it is "partial 16S ribosomal RNA". It matches the Rfam family "Bacterial small subunit ribosomal RNA", at positions 28 to 507 of the family's 1533-position model. The record is from RNAcentral.
GAUGAACGCUGGCGGCGUGCCUAAUACAUGCAAGUAGAACGCUGAAGGAAGGAGCUUGCUCUUUCCGGAUGAGUUGCGAACGGGUGAGUAACGCGUAGGUAACCUGCCUGGUAGCGGGGGAUAACUAUUGGAAACGAUAGCUAAUACCGCAUAACAGUAGAUGUUGCAUGAUAUCUACUUAAAAGGUGCAAUUGCACCACUACCAGAUGGACCUGCGUUGUAUUAGCUAGUUGGUGAGGUAACGGCUCACCAAGGCGACGAUACAUAGCCGACCUGAGAGGGUGAUCGGCCACACUGGGACUGAGACACGGCCCAGACUACUACGGGAGGCAGCAGUAGGGAAUCUUCGGCAAUGGACGGAAGUCUGACCGAGCAACGCCGCGUGAGUGAAGAAGGUUUUCGGAUCGUAAAGCUCUGUUGUAAGAGAAGAACGAGUGUGAGAGUGGAAAGUUCACACUGUGACGGUAUCUUACCAGAAAGGGACGGCUAACUACGUG